GAUGAACGCUGGCGGCGUGCCUAAUACAUGCAAGUCGAGCGAACAGACGAGGAGCUUGCUCCUCUGCCGUUAGCGGCGGACGGGUGAGUAACACGUGGAUAACCUACCUAUAAGACUGGGAUAACUUCGGGAAACCGGAGCUACUACCGGAUAAUAUAUUGAACCGCAUGGUUCAAUAGUGAAAGACGGUUUUGCUGUCACUUAUAGAUGGAUCCGCGCCGCAUUAGCUAGUUGGUAAGGUAACGGCUUACCAAGGCAACGAUGCGUAGCCGACCUGAGAGGGUGAUCGGCCACACUGGAACUGAGACACGGUCCAGACUCCUACGGGAGGCAGCAGUAGGGAAUCUUCCGCAAUGGGCGAAAGCCUGACGGAGCAACGCCGCGUGAGUGAUGAAGGUCUUCGGAUCGUAAAACUCUGUUAUUAGGGAAGAACAAAUGUGUAAGUAACUAUGCACGUCUUGACGGUACCUAAUCAGAAAGCCACGGCUAACUACGUG
This 497-nucleotide ribosomal RNA is filed under the name uncultured bacterium. RNAcentral describes it as "partial 16S ribosomal RNA". It matches the Rfam family "Bacterial small subunit ribosomal RNA", at positions 28 to 507 of the family's 1533-position model. The record is from RNAcentral.